AAACAUUGGCAGGAAAGAUGCCAUAAUCACAAAGGUGGUUUCCUCAGAGAGGCUCAUCCAUUGCACUCUGGAUGUGCUGACCCCCGUGAUUUCCCCAAAUGUGGAAAACUUGACUUCAUUAUUUGUGGUAGUGGGAGGGGACUGCGUUUGUGCUCUUUCCUA
Molecule: small nuclear RNA, 162 nt
Organism: Suncus etruscus (white-toothed pygmy shrew)
Lineage: Eukaryota; Metazoa; Chordata; Mammalia; Eulipotyphla; Soricidae
Product: U1 spliceosomal RNA
Exons: 1
Source: RefSeq, a predicted model, not a curated record